This is a long non-coding RNA of Clupea harengus (Atlantic herring), 1423 nucleotides long. NCBI's taxonomy places the organism in Eukaryota, Metazoa, Chordata, Actinopteri, Clupeiformes, Clupeidae. The record is from Ensembl.
GAGGAGGAGGAGAGGAGGAGAUGAGGAGGAGGAGGAGAGGAGGGAGGAGAUGAGGAGGAGAUCAGGAGGGAGGAGAUGAGGAGGAGGAGGAGGAGAGGAGGAGAUGAGGAGGAGGAGAUGGAGAUGAGGAGGAGAGGAGGAGAAGAGGAGGAGAUGAGGAGGAGGAGGAGAUGAGAUGAGGAGAGGAGGAGAUGAGGAGGAGAAGAGGAGGAGAUGAGGGAGGAGAGGAGGAGGAGAGGAGGAGGAGAUGAGAGAUGAGGAGGAGAUGAGGAGAUGAGGAGGAGAUGAGGAGGAGAAGAGGGGGAGAAGAGAAGGAGAUGAGGUGGAGAUGAGGAGGAGAUAAGAGAUAAGCCUGUCAAACUGCCCUGCUGCAUUUACCCCUGACACAAACCCCUCCUUCUGCCCUGAUGCAGGGGUAAAUCCCAGCCUCUCUACCCUCUGGGGCAGGCGUUGGGGCAGGCGUUGGGCAGGCGUUGGGGCAGGCGUUGGGCAGGCGUUGGGGACCGUGUGGGACUACAGGUGACACCCUGGCCUCUGCUACAGCCUUAAGAUGCUCAUGUAUGGCGAUGCAGACCUUUCCAGUCUCUACGGAGACGACCUUGUUGACCUUCACACACACACACACACACACACACAAACACACAGAGCCGGUGCAAGUCAAAUGGAGCAGCCGACUCCAGAGGGAUGCCUGCACACCACACACACUCACACAGCACACACACUCUACACCACACACACUCACUCACACAGCACACACUCUACACCACACAGACUCCACUCCACUCACACAGCACACACACUCCGCUCCACACACUCUGCACCACACAGACUCCACCACACACACACUCUACACCACACACACACACUACACCACACACACUCUGCUCCACACACACUCUGCUCCACACACACUCUGCACCACACACACUCUGCACCACACACACUCCGCUCGCGAUGAGGCACGUGGGGAGUAUCUCCCAAGACAGAGCAGACUCCGAGACCCUUAUCUGAAGCCGGACCUGGGCCAGGUCAGCGCCGGAGCUAACUGCUCCCUGGGCUCCUACUCCACACACACACACACUCUACACCACACACACUCUACUCCAACACACACUCUACACCACACACACUCUACUCCAACACACACUCAGAGCCGGAGCCGACUGCUCCCUGGGCUCCUACUCCACACACACACACUCUACACCACACACUCUCUACUCCAACACACACUCUACACCACACACACACACACACUACACCACACACACACUCUACACCACACACACUCUACACCACACACACUCAGAGCCUGAGCCGACUGCUCCCUGGGCUCCUACGGCUGAUUCGGGAUCAUACGCUCCAGCGCCACUCGCCUGGAUCCGGCAGCAGAGUACGGCAAACACACACACACACACACACACAC